RNAcentral lists this ribosomal RNA (373 nucleotides) under uncultured Skermanella sp. RNAcentral describes it as "bacterial SSU rRNA". It matches the Rfam family "Bacterial small subunit ribosomal RNA", at positions 545 to 917 of the family's 1533-position model. Lineage: Bacteria; Pseudomonadati; Pseudomonadota; Alphaproteobacteria; Rhodospirillales; Azospirillaceae. The record is from RNAcentral.
AGAGCAGCAUUGGGUAUAAAGCGCGCGUAGGCGGUACUUCAAGUCAGGCGUGAAAGCCCCGGGCUCAACCUGGGAACCGCGCUUGAGACUGGAGAACUAGAGUUCGGGAGAGGAUGGUGGAAUUCCCAGUGUAGAGGUGAAAUUCGUAGAUAUUGGGAAGAACACCGAUGGCGAAGGCAGCCAUCUGGACCGACACUGACGCUGAGGCGCGAAAGCGUGGGGAGCAAACAGGAUUAGAUACCCUGGUAGUCCACGCCGUAAACGAUGAGUGCUAGACGUUGGGGCUCUCAGAGCUUCGGUGUCGCAGCUAACGCAUUAAGCACUCCGCCUGGGGAGUACGGCCGCCAAGGUUAAACUUAAAAAAUUAGACGGA